AUAAGAUCGUGCGGGCAUUGUCUCUUCAAGACCUUAAAUCUCCUCCAAACCUCACUCAAGCUUUCAAGACCUUCUUGUGUUAAACUCUUGAAUUUGUCUCCUUAUCUU
Molecule: small nucleolar RNA, 108 nt
Organism: Ipomoea triloba (trilobed morning glory)
Lineage: Eukaryota; Viridiplantae; Streptophyta; Magnoliopsida; Solanales; Convolvulaceae
Source: RefSeq, a predicted model, not a curated record